RNAcentral lists this long non-coding RNA (225 nucleotides) under Elaeis guineensis (African oil palm). Its description in RNAcentral is "long non-coding RNA (EGUI_LNC072995)". The record is from RNAcentral. Lineage: Eukaryota; Viridiplantae; Streptophyta; Magnoliopsida; Arecales; Arecaceae.
GUGGGCGGUUUGUAUCAAAACUCAGUGUUGACACCUCCUCUAUUGAAGUACAUGGCUGAAAGUCGAUCUUUGUAUUCUUGGCAACGAUCAAGUUUUUGAGAUCGUUGAUGGCUUUGGUGACAUUCUGUACCUCAUGAGUCUCAAGUUGAUCAUCCAAACAUCGGUAGAUUCCCUUUCUACUAGCUCCGUAUCCAUCUGCUCCUUUUGCGUACGGGUUUGCACCAU